Molecule: ribosomal RNA, 401 nt
Filed under: uncultured bacterium
Lineage: Bacteria
Description: bacterial SSU rRNA
Rfam family: Bacterial small subunit ribosomal RNA
Source: RNAcentral
AGUAGGUUUUUCGGUUGAAACUCUGUCUUAGGGACGUAUGAGGGGCUAACAAGAAAGCACCGGCUAACUACGUGCCAGCAGCCGCGGUAAAACGUAGGUGGCAAGCGUUGUCCGGAAUUACUGGGUGUAAAGGGAGCGCAGGCGGGAAGACAAGUUGGAAGUGAAAACCAUGGGCUCAACCCAUGAAUUGCUUUCAAAACUGUUUUUCUUGAGUAGUGCAGAGGUAGAUGGAAUUCCCGGUGUAGCGGUGGAAUGCGUAGAUAUUGGGAGGAACACCAGUGGCGAAGGCGGCCUACUGGGCACCAACUGACGCUGAGGCUCGAAAGCAUGGGUAGCAAACAGGAUUAGUACCCUGGUAGUCCACGCCGUAAACGAUGAUUACUAGGUGUGGGGGGAUUGAC